GACGAACGCUGGCGCCGUGCUUAACACAUGCCAGUCGAACGGAAAGGCCCUGCUUUUGUGGGGUGCUCGAGUGGCGAACGGGUGAGUAACACGUGAGUAACCUGCCCUUGACUUUGGGAUAACUUCAGGAAACUGGGGCUAAUACCGGAUAGGAGCUCCUGCUGCAUGGUGGGGGUUGGAAAGUUUCGGCGGUUGGGGAUGGACUCGCGGCUUAUCAGCUUGUUGGUGGGGUAGUGGCUUACCAAGGCUUUGACGGGUAGCCGGCCUGAGAGGGUGACCGGCCACAUUGGGACUGAGAUACGGCCCAGACUCCUACGGGAGGCAGCAGUGGGGAAUAUUGCACAAUGGGCGGAAGCCUGAUGCAGCAACGCCGCGUGCGGGAUGACGGCCUUCGGGUUGUAAACCGCUUUCGCCUGUGACGAAGCGUGAGUGACGGUAAUGGGUAAAGAAGCACCGGCUAACUACGUG
This 468-nucleotide ribosomal RNA is filed under the name uncultured bacterium. RNAcentral describes it as "partial 16S ribosomal RNA". It matches the Rfam family "Bacterial small subunit ribosomal RNA", at positions 28 to 507 of the family's 1533-position model. The record is from RNAcentral.